UCGAGGAAUAAGUUGUUUAGACAUAAAAAAAAUUUAAAAUGCGGAGCAUAAUUUAUGAAAUAUCAUGGUGUGAAAACAUAAACUUAUUUCAUGAAAAGAUUUUGUUACGGGGAGCAAAAAUUCAGGACCAGCCCAAAAUAGGGUAAACGUGAAAAUGAAACCCCACUGUUUAGGCGCUCAUCACAAGACAUUGCUAUCCGCAUUCGACGGUUUUAAUUGGUCGAUGGCAGGCGUUUCCGAACAGGUGGUUGGAAUAUUAUGGAGAAUCCUUGAAGUGCGAGAUCUAAAUGCAUACAAAGAGAUAAUGUUGAAAGGGAAGGAGUUUGAGGUGGGUCAUAAUUCUUUACUGUUUAUUUAGUUUAUAUUUGUCCCCUGUGCAUGUGACACUUUUAUCACAAACCUGGAAGAUCAUGAAUUCCAUCAUCAGGUUCAGUAAGCAUGAUUAUUUUCGACAAUGCUGAAGGUUUUUUUUCUACCUUCCAUCAAACAAAAGAAUAAAUAAACCUUUAAUAAAGGCCU
Long non-coding RNA from Lycium barbarum (goji berry), 519 nucleotides. RefSeq lists it as uncharacterized. NCBI's taxonomy places the organism in Eukaryota, Viridiplantae, Streptophyta, Magnoliopsida, Solanales, Solanaceae. The record is from RefSeq and is a predicted model, not a curated record. The transcript is spliced from 2 exons.